AAACCACUUUUUGAACUUUAUCCAAUGAGUUAGGGAUACAAUGGCCUUUAGGGAGAACCCUUGAGAACAAUUUAAGUAUGGCCUCCAAACAUGCGUUACUAAUACCAUACAUGUACUUUAUCUGAAAAAGUUGCACGAUAAAAGAAACCUUAGAUUGGACGGUUAUCCUUGAUCCUCCAGGGGCCAGGGGGUCUGGUUUUAUAGUCCCUUCAAGUGAAUACGGUCCGUUGGAUCAAACCGACAUAGAUUGAAUGGUUAUCCUUGAUCCUUUAGGUCGGUGGAGAUCUUUCCCGAAAGAGUGUCCUGAUUGGACUCCAACAGGGGGCAGGCGCCCAGGGCAACAGGGCAGGCGCUCAGUGCCUGGCCCCAUUCGGCCUCCGCUCCCUUCCUGUGGCUUCUGGAGUCUUCUAGAUGUAAGAUAAUUGCACGGCACGUUAAUAUCUCUAUGUAAUCUCGACGUGUGGGCCUUUCUUCCGUAUUUCCUAAUAACCCCCUGCAGAAAUAGACAAACACAAAAACUCGUGGAAUUCUGUUAGAUAAAACCCUAAGUCUAGAUGUUGAUUUCAUUUGGAUCCUUUUCUUUGUUUAUUUGAUAAUUAAAUUUGAUACUUAAGGACCGUCAACAAACUCCCCCAAGCUUACCUCUUGCUCGUCCCUGAGCAAGGAUAGGCUUAGCUAUGGAUCAUAAGUUGUUGCAAUAUCUUUAAAAAUUAACGGUACAUAUGCUUUUAAAUAAGAUCUCAUCUCUGAGUUAGAGUAAACUGUCAAGACUUAAAACUUACUUACUUUACCUUUCAGCAUGGGACUUGUAAUCAUCACUUCUGUCUUGAGUGGUUAAAAGAUAGAACAGUCUAGUCAAGUGCCAUGUCUCUUAUUCUUGAUCAGCUAUAGCUCUGGAGUUUUUGCAGAUUUUUAAAUAAAACUCAGAGAUUCCUUGUAUGACUCUAUCAGAUCUCUCAUUUGUGGUAUUUCUGGAUCCUUACCAAGGCAGUGAUUGUAUAUGCCUUCUCUCAAUAUAUAUGGUAUUUGUGGUAUAAGGCAUAGUGACAUUGCCUUCUCUCUCACCCUACUCUAAUAAGGCUUUAAUAUCUGGAGCUCAUAGGUGGGAGAUAAAGUAUACAUACUUACAAGAUAUUUAUUGUAUAGUCAAACCAUAGAUCCAAAGAAAAAAAUCAAUAAGUCAAAUCAAGAUGUGCAUGUGUGGUAAAUGAAUGGUAUAUGGUGAUGAUGGUGAUAACAAUGGUGAAAGUCUAAUUCUACUUUGCUCUUCGAGGGGAUACAUACCUUCCUUGCUUUCUGAAAGUUUUGAAGAGAAUGAGAUGCUCUAUAUUUUCUUUUUCUUUCCUCUCAGGUGAGUAUCUUGUACCCCUAAUUCUACUGUCAGACACUUGUCCAUUUUUACCUCUCGUCUCACUCUUUUUCUUUUCUUUCGAGGUUCUGGGCACUUGCCCCUUUUUAUUUCCUCGUAUUCUUUUUUCUUUCUUCUGUUUUUUUCUUUUUUAGAGCACUCAUCUCUUGAGAUAAUAUAGCAAGUGGUAGUAACAAGAUAACUUGAGCAUUUAUUUCACAAGGGAAAAACAGAAAUGUUUUUGGCUAUUCUCUCCUGGAUUAGGAGUAGAAUAUUUUUGGGUGGUUCUGGAGAUGGAAAUGAGUGGAUAUAUGUGGAUGAUACUUCCAGAGUAGAAGUAGCAUAUGUGAGUGAACGUGCAAGUGAAUCUUGAUUUAACCAUAUGACAAGCUCUUAAGGGUCUACACAGCUUGACCACACUCAAUGCUCAUAAGCAGUAAAUAGUAAAUGUGUGGCUCAAAGUCUAGCAAUCAUGUAUAUAUGGCUGUGGUAGGAAUUUAAACUCUCAUCAUAUAGAAACUCAUUAUGCAAUAUUUUAAAGAUUUUCAAAGAUAAAAUUCUCCAGAAUUCUAGCAUCUCUAGGAACAGAUAAACAGCAGCUCAACCUUCACAUAUCAUAUUCGUUAACAACUUAGACUUCAGAUCAAGUUUACUUCCCACAAGUUUAGGUUUAGGGAAAGCUUUAAAUUAUAACAGUUAUGUCUAAACUUGAGAGAAAACUUAAAAUUCGUAAAUUAGGCAGAGCAACUAUUCAUCAUAUUCAUGCUAGAGUUUUAUUUAGAUAUAGAUUAGCAUAGCCACUUUAUUUAUUUAUUAAACACACUAAGCAAAAGAUAUAUAUAUAUAAGCACAAGAUCUUUAUUUGUUUUUCCAUAAUUAUGUAUAUCUAUAUUUUAAUAUAGUAUAAGUAUAAAGAUAGAUAGAAAUACUUAGCGGGUUGAAUGGGGGUGCUCUCCACCAAGCUAAAUUUUGACGUAAUUUUUUUCUUGAUGUAGCUAGCAGGUGGCAGAGGUGUAUUUGAAAGUCGGCAGCACCCUGACAGCGAUUAGAAUGUCCUCCGUCUGCUAGUCUUCUUUGAUCCUUAAAUUUUGUGGAGCUCAAAUAGACAACAAAGCUUGUGGAACUGAUUAAGUGUUAGCAUAAAUAUCUAGCCUUUAUCAUGUUGAGACUCCUUAGUAAAUAUUACUCCUAUUUUUAUAUUUUCAUUUUUAUAGAGCAGAAAAAUAUUUAUUUUAUUUUUACGCCACCACAGUGAAUGUACUUAUGGGUUUUAUGCCACUAGUCUACUCACAUGGGGCUUACUGUUUUUCAACAUUUUUAUUUUCUUUUUAGGAUAGUAUAAAUAUAACUAAUUAAGUAAACUAUUUUAAAUAAUUGAACGGAAAAAGAUAACUACCAAGUUUACCUCUUGGCAAGGCGUUCGGUGUUUUUAAGUCCUCCGAACGGGACUCUUCUCUUUCUCAAUUGUCCUAGGAUUCGUUGGGUGGCGGAGUCGGUACUUCCGGCAAUGCCUCUUCUUUAUGUAUAGUUAUCUUCUCUUUCCAUACCUAACUCGGUGCUACGGAAUAGUCUGGAUCAUUUUGUUUAAACUAUACGUCUUCUGACCUUACAACUUCUCCUUCAUAGUCUGCCCAUCCAUCCUUGAUGAUUUGCCUCCUCUGGUUGCAGUUGCGUCGUUUUCUUACCUGCAUAGAUUCUUCAAAGAUGUAGUUAGGGUCAGUAAAAUAACGGCGUACCUUCUCUGAGGGGAAGUGCAUAUGGACUUCUCCAGUUCCAAUGUAGAUUUUUGCUUUAACGGUGCUGAGAAACGGUCUUCCAAGGAUGAUGGGUGUCGACGAAAGCUGGUCAGCAGUCUACCUUGGGGUAUACCCACGGUAGUAGUUUAUCGGUAGACGGUGCGCAAACUACGAACUCGAUGGUGACGCAAGACACAGGCGAGCUUUUUAUCCAGGUUCGGCCGCCGAGUUGGCGUAAUACCUACGUCCUGCGUCUGAUUGCAUUGGUUUGGAUUGAGAGAAUAAUGUGUGUAUGACUUGUCCUCUAGGGGAUCCCUGCCCCUCUUUAUAUAUCCUGAAGGGACAGAGUUACAAGCAAAGUAUCCUAUUUGGUACAAAAUCUUGUAGCCUUGCGGUGCACGCCGACCAGUCGUGCGCCGCACGUCUUCAUCUUGUGGGCCGAGCCACCUCUGAUGGUGCGGCCCAUAUAGGCCCAUGAGGGUAUAAGGGUUUAUACCCCCACAGCUAGUCCCCGAGCACCAUGUAUUAUGAUGUAACACGCUGUCUUGAGCUUCUUCGAUCAGUGAGGCUUGACGUCUUCAAUAAGCAGGAAUGUCGCCCAAACGGUUGCAACGGUAUUUUGACCAACUCAAAAGACAGUUGAUCAACAUUGACCUCAAAGAAGCAGGUUGUUCGAAGAAUGCAUGGUGCUCCAAAUUAAAAAAGAUUUCUUUCCUGGUGAAGUGUGCCCACUUUACUUUUUCUGAAAAGUAUAGACCUCAAAAAAGCAAGCAUAUUCACCGCAAGGUGAAGUGUGCCCACUUAGUCCCCGAGCCUGGUAGUAGGUGACGUAGGCACAUGAUGCCAGGGUCAAAAGAAAAGUCCUCAAAGAAAUUCUGAAACUGAGAUGCAUCGCCAGAUGCAUCGUACCGAUGUAGUCCCCGAGCUUGCUGGAAGACGAAGUAUGAGCCUUGUAGCAAGGUCUAAAAAAUUGAAUUUACCAGUCCGUCUGCAAUUGAAUAGACUAAUCGACCAGUCCCCGAGCAUAUAACGCUCGGUGGUCGGUACAGUCCCUGAAUUCUCAAAUUGGUGGGCUGGUCGACCAGUCCUCGAGCGUAUAGUGCUCGGUGGUCGGUACAGUCCCAAAAUUCUCAAAUUGGUGGGCUGGUCGACCAGUCCCCGAGCGUAUAGUGCUUGGUGGUCGGUACAGUCCCAAAACUCUCAAAUUGGUGAGCUGGUCGAACAGUCCCCGAGCGUAUAGUGCUCGGUGGUCGGCACAGUCUUCGAGCACAGCAUAGAGAGUAGUCGACAAGUCCCCGAGCGUGGUUGGGAACGUAAACGUGCUCGGUGGUCGGAGCAGUCCCCGGGCAUAGCAUAGGGAAUAGUCGACGAGUCUCCAAGCGUAGCUUGUCGACUGGGCCAAACUCCUGAAAAAUAAAUAUAAAGAAUUGGUAGUACAUGAUGUAUAAAUAACCUUUAGAUAAAAAAUCAGUACUAAGAUAAGUUUUAGAUUUGUUCUUAUAAAAUUAGCACGAGUAGUUAAUUCAUCCUAGAGCUUUAACCAGCUCUGGUCUAGCCAACAAUCAGCAUGAGGUGCGGAACCUAGGCACGCGUAGGAUUGUCAGCCACGUCAGAGAGCUACUGCCGACCACCCGGAACGCAGAGGGCGGAUCUCGUGCACGUGUAGGGAGGCGUCGGAGACAGUACCGGCUCUGGAAAGCUCGUGUAGGAGAAAAAACUAGUCGGCUAAAAAAGUUGUUUUGAAGAAUAAUAAUCUUAAAAAUAUUAUGCCAAAAAUAAAUAAAAUAUUAGAAUUGUACUUAUCUUUGGACGAAAGUCUGGUUGGGAGAGUUGCUUGACUUGUUGUCGUGAUGGUGGUCGCGGCUGUCGUAGCGCCAUUCUUCACGGCGAUUAUUAUUGCGACUCGUGGUGAGAGCAAGUAGGCCAAACAACUUGGUCGAUAGCCUGAGCAGGUCGGUGUCGUUGAUCUGCCUCCCUUUGUAGCAAAGAAGCGGGUGACGCGUUGUCGGCGUGGUCGGAGACGUUGCUGGAGUAGUUGGAGUCGUAGCCAGCGUGGUUGAAGCCGCCGCCGACGUCGAUGAAGAAGUGGUUGGUGCAGAUCGGAUCCACACCUCCUCUGUGGUCGUGGCGGUGUAGCUGUUGAAGCUGACGGUGAACGUGAAGUCGCCUGCCAUGGCCACGAAGUCAGGGAUGAUGACCAUCUCGUUCGUCGGGAGAGCUGUACGCGUACCCCCUACCUGGCGCGCCACUGUCGACGAAAGCUGGUCGGCAGUAUACCUUGGGGUAUACCCACGGUAGUAGUUUAUCGGUAGACGGUGCGCAAACUACGAACUCGAUGGUGACGCAAGACACAGGCGAGCUUUUUAUCCAGGUUCGGGCGCCGAGUUGGCGUAAUACCUACGUCCUGCGUCUGAUUGUAUUGGUUUGGAUUGAGAGAAUAAUGUGUGUAUGACUUGUCCUCUAGGAGACCCCUGCCCCUCCUUAUAUAUCCUGAAGGGACAGAGUUACAAGCAAAGUAUCCUAUUUGGUACAAAAUCUUGUAGCCUUGCGGUGCACGCCGACCAGCCGUGCGCCGCACGUCUUCAUCUUGUGGGCCAAGCCACCUCUGAUGGUGCGGCCCAUAUAGGCCCAUGAGGGUAUAAGGGUUU
RNAcentral lists this long non-coding RNA (5732 nucleotides) under Sorghum bicolor (sorghum). RNAcentral describes it as "long non-coding RNA (SBIC_LNC008512)". The record is from RNAcentral. Lineage: Eukaryota; Viridiplantae; Streptophyta; Magnoliopsida; Poales; Poaceae.